This 524-nucleotide long non-coding RNA is filed under the name Homo sapiens (human). Its description in RNAcentral is "HSALNT0347391". The record is from RNAcentral. Lineage: Eukaryota; Metazoa; Chordata; Mammalia; Primates; Hominidae.
CGCGUACCGCCCCGUUCCCCCACCGUUUCCGACCCGGCAGCUUCUGGAAAACAGCGCCCUUGAUCCUCCCGGGCAGGAAGAAGGGCCAAGGAAGGGGUUAGAAGGGAAAGAGUUAGGAUUUCCCAAGAACCAGCCCUGAAGGCCUGGAGGUGGGGGAUUUCGCUUCUUAGUUGGACGGGAGCCCCUUGGGUUCCUCACUUCUUAGCCCGCGCCCUGCGGGAGGAGCGACUCUGCUUGUCCCUCAAGAUGCUUGUGAAGGUGCCCGCUGCGCUCUGACACCGGCGAUCUCUUAGAGUCUGUCUCCUGCCUCUCCUUUCUCCUGUUGUACAUUGAAUUUUCCAGGCAGUCCAAAAUAUUGCAGUAAACUGACAGCCACUCUGUCUCUUCCAAGAGAAAACAAAUUGAGUGCUUUCCGUCACUGCUGGGACAGCAGAGCCAGUUUACAGGAGGGAGUCCAUGCUGGGGCAUUUCUGUAACCACUGCAGAGAGCCACUCACUGAUUUUCAGAAGAAGUCUCAAUCCUC